RNAcentral lists this ribosomal RNA (465 nucleotides) under uncultured bacterium. RNAcentral describes it as "bacterial SSU rRNA". It matches the Rfam family "Bacterial small subunit ribosomal RNA", at positions 338 to 795 of the family's 1533-position model. The record is from RNAcentral.
CCUACGGGCCGCACCAGUGGGGAAUAUUGCACAAUGGGCGCAAGCCUGAUGCAGCCAAGCCGCGUGUGUGAAGAUGGCCUUCGGGUUGUAAAGCACUUUCAGCGGGGAGGAAGGCGAUAAGGUUAAUAACCUUGUCGAUUGACGUUACCCGCAGAAGAAGCACCGGCUAACUCCGUGCCAGCAGCCGCGGUAAUACGGAGGGUGCAAGCGUUAAUCGGAAUUACUGGGCGUAAAGCGCACGCAGGCGGUCUGUCAAGUCGGAUGUGAAAUCCCCGGGCUCAACCUGGGAACUGCAUUCGAAACUGGCAGGCUAGAGUCUUGUAGAAGGGGGUAGAAUUCCAGGUGUAGCGGUGAAAUGCGUAGAGAUCUGGAGGGAUACCGGUGGCGAAGGCGGCCCCCUGGACAAAGACUGACGCUCAGGUGCGAAAGCGUGGGGAGCAAACAGGAUUAGAUACCCCAGUAGUC